This 762-nucleotide unclassified non-coding RNA is filed under the name Hevea brasiliensis (rubber tree). Lineage: Eukaryota; Viridiplantae; Streptophyta; Magnoliopsida; Malpighiales; Euphorbiaceae. The record is from RNAcentral.
CAAAAAGGCAAGUGAAAUCUGGCAGCCUAAAUGGUACUGUAUUGUAUGCUUUAUACUCAAGAGCAGAAGGUUACGAACUUCAGAAAAUGGAUCUGAAGUGUUUUAAAAUUGAUGGUUGAUGUAUUUUUAUCUCUCCUAACUAAUGAUACUUCAGAUCACAAUGGCUGCAGGGCUAGGGAUAAUAUUUUAUGCAGGUUUAUCGAGUGGAGAUGUCUGGAAGGAAUUUUACCAAUACUUCAGAGAAAGCAGAUUCGUCCAUGCGACGUCGAUUGAUUUCAGUUUACUAUCGGCAUUUGCACCCUUCUGGAUUUACAAUGAUAUGACUGCUCGAAAGUGGUAUGACAAAGGAUCUUGGCUUCUUCCGCUGUCGGUGAUCCCUUUUUUGGGUCCAGCACUAUACCUUCUCCUACGCCCAUCUCUUCCAACAGUACCAGCCUUAUCAAGCCCAACUUCGACUGAGGAAAAAUGAUACAGAUUUCUUACACAAGGAUUCUACUAGCAUGGUACAUUGAGCAAAUAUUACAGACUGGUGAAAACUCUGCUGUCUGUAAUGUACAGUAAAGAGCACAAACAACAACAAACUGUUUUUUCAGGUUAUCACCUGCUCUGUAGAGCAUAGAUCAGCAGUUGAAAUGAAGACCAUUUAUGGUGGAAAUUACUAACUUGUUGCUCGUCUUUUCUUCUUAAUUCUAUUAUACUGCUAUUGCUUUAUAUUAAUUUUCACACGAUGCAUAUAAUUUCCAAUUUCAAGUAUACUAUAAU